GAAAGUAAGUAAGGGCGUAUGGGGGAUGCCUAGGCUCUUGGAGGCUAAGAAGGACGUGGUAAGCUGCGAAAAGCUGCGGGGAUUUGCAAACGAGACUCGAUCCGCAGAUAUCCGAAUGGGACAACCCGGCAGGUAGAAGACCUGUCACACCGCGAGGUGAGCUAACCCUCUGAACUGAAACAUCUAAGUAGGAGGAGGAAAAGAAAGAAACAUCGAUUUCCAAAGUAGCGGCGAGCGAAAUGGAAGAAGCCCAAACCGAUAUUGUUACGGCAAUAUCGGGGUUGUAGGACUGCAAUAUUCAAUUAACAAUGAACUGGAAUGGUCUGGAAAGUCCAUCCAUAGAGAGUGAAAGGCUCGUACAGGUAAGUUUGUUAUGCGAAAGCAGUAUCCUGAGUAUGGCGGGACACGAGGAAUCCUGUCAGAAUCAGCCGGGACCACCCGGUAAGGCUAAAUACUCCCAAGAGACCGAUAGUGGACCAGUACUGUGAAGGAAAGGUGAAAAGAACCCCGAACAGGGGAGUGAAAUAGAACCUGAAACCAUACGCUUACAACCGGUCGGAGCAGCUUCGUGCUGUGACGGCGUGCCUAUUGAAUAAUGAGCCUACGAGUUACUAAUCACUAGCGAGGUUAAGUGCAAGGAUGCACGGAGCCGAAGCGAAAGCGAGUCUGAACAGGGCGUUUAGUUAGUGGUUGUAGACGCGAAACCUUGCGAUCUACCCUUGAGCAGGUUGAAGGUUGGGUAAAACCAACUGGAGGACCGAACGAAUAAGCGUUGAAAAGCUUCUCGAUGACUUGAGGGUAGGGGUGAAAGGCUAAUCAAGCUGGGAAAUAGCUCGUACUCCCCGAAAUGCCUUUUGGGGCAGCGUUGUAAUAAAGAGUCUACUGGAGGUAGAGCUACUGAUUGGAUGCGGGGGCUUCACCGCCUACCAAAUCCUGACAAACUCCGAAUGCCAGUAGUAUGAUUUACAGCAGUGAGCGACCGGGUGCUAAUGUCCGGUUACGAGAGUGGAACAACACAGACCAGCAACUAAGGUCCCGAAGAGUAUACUAAGUUGAUCUAACGAUGUUUUGCUGCAGAGACAGCUAGGAUGUUAGCUUGGAAGCAGCUAUUCAUUCAAAGAGUGCGUAACAGCUCACUAGUCGAGCGACAGAGCGUGGAUAAUAAACGGGCAUCAAGCAUAUCACCGAAGUUCUGGGCGCGAGAGCGCGGUAGGGGAGCAUUCCAUUCAGCGUCGAAGCAGUUUCGUGAGGAAUUGUGGAGCGUAUGGAAAAGCAAAUGUAGGCAUGAGUAACGAUAAUGCGGGAGAGUAACCCGCACACCGCAAGACCAAGGUUUCCUGAUCAACGCUAAUCGGAUCAGGGUUAGUCGGGUCCUAAGGGUAAGCCGAACGGCGAUCUCGAUGGAUAAUCGGUUAAUAUUCCGAUACUAACAUAUACCUCGAUGGAGAGACGAAGGAACGUAAGUGCCGCCACCUGACGGAAUAGGUGGUUAAAGGGCGUAGGUAUAGGGGCAGAUUAAGAGUUAGUCCUUGCUGAAACCUGACAGUACAGAGAGCCUACGGGCAAUUUGAUAGAGCACCCAAGUCGACUUCCGAGAAAAUCUUCUAAGUUAUAGUAUAUGUUACCCGUACCGUAAACCGACACAGGUGGUCGAGGAGAGUAUCCUAAGGUGCUCGAGUGAAUCACGGUUAAGGAACUAGGCAAAUUAACCCCGUAACUUCGGGAAAAGGGGUCCCUACGCGAGUAGGGCGCAGCGAAGAGGUCCAGGCGACUGUUUAUCAAAAACACAGGGCUCUGCAAAUUCGAAAGAAGACGUAUAGGGCCUGACACCUGCCCGGUGCUGGAAGGUUAAGAGGGGAUGUCAUCGCAAGAGAAGCAUUGAAUCGAAGCCCCAGUAAACGGCGGCCGUAACUAUAACGGUCCUAAGGUAGCGAAAUUCCUUGUCGGGUAAGUUCCGACCCGCACGAAUGGCGUAACGACUUGUGAGCUGUCUCAACAGGAGGCCCGGUGAAAUUGAAGUAUGUGUGAAGAUGCACAUUACCCGCGACUGGACGGAAAGACCCCGUAGAGCUUUACUGUAACCUGACAUUGGAUCUUGAUAACGGAUGCACAGGAUAGGUGGGACGCUGGGAGACGAGGACUUUGGUUUUCGUGGAGCGGCCGUUGGGAUACCACUCUUCUGUUAUUGAGAUUCUAACCUCAAGCCGUAAGCCGGAUGAGAGACAGUGUCAGGCGGACAGUUUGACUGGGGCGGUCGCCUCCGAAAGAGUAACGGAGGCGCCCAAAGGUACCCUCAGAAUGGAUGGAAACCAUUCGAAGAGAGCAAAGUCAGAAGGGUGCUUGACUGCGAGACCAACAAGUCGAGCAGGUACGAAAGUAGGGCUUAGUGAUCCGGCGGUAAGAGAGUGGAAUUGCCGUCGCUCAACGGAUAAAAGCUACCUCGGGGAUAACAGGCUGAUCUCCCCCAAGAGUUCACAUCGACGGGGAGGUUUGGCACCUCGAUGUCGGCUCGUCGCAUCCUGGGGCUGAAGCAGGUCCCAAGGGUUUGGCUGUUCGCCAAUUAAAGCGGCACGCGAGCUGGGUUCAGAACGUCGUGAGACAGUUCGGUCCCUAUCUGUUGCGGGCGUAAGAGAUUUGAAGGGAGCUGUCCUUAGUACGAGAGGACCGGGAUGGACGUACCUCUGGUGCACCAGUUGUCCUGCCAAGGGCAUAGCUGGGUAGCUAUGUACGGACGAGAUAAACGCUGAAAGCAUCUAAGCGUGAAACUCCCCCUAAGAUGAGAUCUCUCAUCCAUUAUGGAGUAAGGGCCCAGAAAGACGAUCUGGUUGAUAGGCCGGAGGUGGAAGUGCAGUAAUGUAUGGAGCUGACCGGUACUAAUAGCCCGAGGGCUUGACCUA
Molecule: ribosomal RNA, 2897 nt
Filed under: human gut metagenome
Description: bacterial LSU rRNA
Rfam family: Bacterial large subunit ribosomal RNA
Source: RNAcentral